AGAGUUUGAUCCCGGCUCAGAAUCAACGCUGGCGGCGCGCNNAAAGUGGAGCAAUCCAUGAGUACAGUGGCGUACGGGUGAGUAACACGUGGGUAAUCUACCUCUUAGUGAGGAAUAACCCUGGGAAACCGGGGCUAAUACCGCAUGAGCCUGAGAAGGGAAAGCAGAAAUGCGCUGAGAGAGGAGCCCGCGGCCGAUUAGCUAGUUGGUGGGGUAAGAGCCCACCAAGGCAGAGAUCGGUAGCCGGCCUGAGAGGGCACACGGCCACACUGGCACUGAAACACGGGCCAGACUCCUACGGGAGGCAGCAGUGGGGAAUCUUGCACAAUGGGGGAAACCCUGAUGCAGCGACGCCGCGUGAGCGAUGAAGCCCUUCGGGGUGUAAAGCUCUUUCGUCAGGGAAGAUAGUGACGGUACCUGGAGAAGCAGCUGCGGCUAACUACGUGCCAGCAGCCGCGGUAAUACGUAGGCAGCAAGCGUUGUUCGGAGUUACUGGGCGUAAAGGGUGUGUAGGCGGUUUUUUAAGUUUGGUGUGAAAUCUCCCGGCUUAACCGGGAGGGUGCGCCGAAUACUGAGGGACUAGAGUACGGGAGAGGAAAGUGGAAUUCCUGGUGUAGCGGUGAAAUGCGUAGAUAUCAGGAGGAACACCGGUGGUGUAGACGGCUUUCUGGACCGUAACUGACGCUGAAACACGAAAGCGUGGGUAGCAAACAGGAUUAGAUACCCUGGUAGUCCACGCCCUAAACGAUGCAUAUUUGGUGUGGGCAGUUCAUUCUGUCCGUGCCGGAGCUAACGCGUUAAAUAUGCCGCCUGGGGAGUACAGUCGCAAGGCUGAAACUCAAAGGAAUUGACGGGGGCCCGCACAAGCGGUGGAGCAUGUGGUUUAAUUCGACGCAACGCGAAGAACCUUACCUGGGCUCGAA
Molecule: ribosomal RNA, 923 nt
Filed under: Bryobacterales bacterium
Lineage: Bacteria; Pseudomonadati; Acidobacteriota; Terriglobia; Bryobacterales
Description: bacterial SSU rRNA
Rfam family: Bacterial small subunit ribosomal RNA
Source: RNAcentral